UAUGAAGAAGUCUAUGUUUCUGGGUGG
This 27-nucleotide small RNA is filed under the name Bombyx mori (domestic silkworm). RNAcentral describes it as "ovarian small RNA-23849". Lineage: Eukaryota; Metazoa; Arthropoda; Insecta; Lepidoptera; Bombycidae. The record is from RNAcentral.